Molecule: ribosomal RNA, 381 nt
Filed under: uncultured bacterium
Lineage: Bacteria
Description: bacterial SSU rRNA
Rfam family: Bacterial small subunit ribosomal RNA
Source: RNAcentral
AUUGAACGCUGGCGGAAUGCCUUACACAUGCAAGUCGAACGGCAGCACGGGAGCAAUCCUGGUGGCGAGUGGCGAACGGGUGAGUAAUACAUCGGAACGUGCCCAAUCGUGGGGGAUAACGUAGCGAAAGCUACGCUAAUACCGCAUACGAUCUACGGAUGAAAGCGGGGGAUCGCAAGACCUCGCGCGAAUGGAGCGGCCGAUGGCAGAUUAGGUAGUGGUGGGGUAAAGGCUCACCAAGCCUUCGAUCUGUAGCUGGUCUGAGAGGACGACCAGCCACACUGGGACUGAGACACGGCCCAGACUCCUACGGGAGGCAGCAGUGGGGAAUUUUGGACAAUGGGCGCAAGCCUGAUCCAGCCAUUCCGCGUGCAGGAUGAA